This is a long non-coding RNA of Mus caroli (Ryukyu mouse), 366 nucleotides long. RefSeq lists it as uncharacterized. The record is from RefSeq and is a predicted model, not a curated record. Lineage: Eukaryota; Metazoa; Chordata; Mammalia; Rodentia; Muridae.
UGACUCUAUGGGUAAAUCAGUUAAUCCCUGGCUUGGGGGGAAGGAUGAGUCAUAAGGUCACCUGGUGUCCCAUGAUCCUGUGUUGUUUGUUGAGACCCAGAAGCUCCCAGUGGUUCUCAAGGAUCUCAUGUAGCCGAGGCUGGCCUCAAACUCACUAAGAAGCAGAGGAUGAGCUUGAAUUCUUGCUCCUUCCGUCUUGAAGUCCUGAGCACUGGGAUUGCAGGAGCACCCCAGACUCCAGCACAGCCGUGGUUAUUUCUCUGAUAUUCCUGCAGUGGCUUACUCCCACUGAGAUAAGAUCUGCAGCGCUGGGGAUGGAUGCAGCCACUGGUAUAGAACACUUGGUGAGCACACAGGAGGCCCUGA